CUGAACCACCAGUAUGACUACACGUUUGAUUGGACGAUGUUAAAGCAGAAAGCAGCCCAGCAGGCAGCCUCUUCCAGUGGGCAGGGUCAGCAGGCCCAAACCCCCACAGGCAAGCAAACUGACAAAACCAAGAGUAACAUGAAAGGUUUCUAAGCAUGGAGGAAGAGAAGCAGCAGAGCAGAAGAUUGGAGCAACAUUUGUUUCUCCCCAGAUCUAGACCUUUUAGUUCAUAUGUACACUAGCCAGUGGUUGUGGACAACCAUUUACUUGGUGUAAAGGACUUACUUUCCGUAUAAACUGGCUCUGGGUAGCACUGCUGAUCCUGAGCUGUAGCCGCUGUAAUUGUGAAUAUUAACUGAGGUAGUGAAACAUGGUGUCCGGUUUUCUAUUGCAUUUUUUUCAAGUGGAAAAGUUAACUAAAUGGUUGACACACAAAUUGGUGGAGAAAUUGUGCAUAUGCCAAUUUUUUUGUUAAAAUCUUUUAUUUUGAACUAUACUGCUUUGAGAUCUCAUUUCAGAAGAACGGCAUGAACAGUCUUCAGCCACAGUUGUGAUGGUUGUAAAUGUUCACAAUUGUGUGUUCUUAGGGUUUUCCAUCCCUGGGGUUUGCAAGUUGUUGACGUAAAAACAUUCUUUAAAUGGCUGGCUUCUUGUUUGCAAGCUAGCUGAUAGGGUAGCAACCAAAGAUUCCAGUGUUCGAGCAUUUGAAAGACUCUGCCUGCUUACUGUGCUAGAAAUAACAGCAUCUAAAGUGAAGACUUACGAAAAAAAACAUAGCGACUACUAGAUUAUCUUUAGGACUCUGCAUUAACUCUAUAAUGUUCUUGCUAUUAAAAAAAGCAUAUUUGUCACAGAAAUUUAGUUACCGUCUUACAACUGAACAUGUAUGUGUGUUGCUUAGAUAAAUGUAAUCACUGUAAACAUCUAUAUGAUCUGGGAUUUUGUUUUUAUUUUGAAAUGGGAGCUUUUUGUUUACAAGUUCAUUAAAAACUAAAAACUG
Molecule: long non-coding RNA, 1000 nt
Filed under: Rattus norvegicus (Norway rat)
Lineage: Eukaryota; Metazoa; Chordata; Mammalia; Rodentia; Muridae
Description: long non-coding RNA NONRATT013496
Source: RNAcentral